CCUACGGGAGGCAGCAGUAGGGAAUAUUGGGCAAUGGAGGCAACUCUGACCCAGCCAUGCCGCGUGCAGGAAGAAGGCGUUAUGCGUUGUAAACUGCUUUUAUAUAGGAAGAAAUAGUCCUUGCGAGGAAAGUUGACGGUACUAUAUGAAUAAGCACCGGCUAACUCCGUGCCAGCAGCCGCGGUAAUACGGAGGGUGCAAGCGUUGUCCGGAUUUAUUGGGUUUAAAGGGUGCGUAGGCGGUUUAUUAAGUCAGUGGUGAAAGACGGUCGCUCAACGAUUGCAGUGCCAUUGAUACUGGUAGACUUGAGUGGGAUUGAGGUAGCUGGAAUGGAUAGUGUAGCGGUGAAAUGCAUAGAUAUUAUCCAGAACACCAAUUGCGUAGGCAAGUUACUAAGUCUCAACUGACGCUGAGGCACGAAAGUGUGGGUAUCAAACAGGAUUAGAUACCCUGGUAGUCCACACUGUAAACGAUGAUAACUAACUGUUGGCUUUCGGGUCAGUGGUACAGAGAAAUCGUUAAGUUAUCCACCUGGGGAGUACGCCGGCAACGGUGAAACUCAAAGGAAUUGACGGCNGAGAGNGCGAGACGACACGAGGAGGAGG
This 605-nucleotide ribosomal RNA is filed under the name uncultured bacterium. Its description in RNAcentral is "bacterial SSU rRNA". It matches the Rfam family "Bacterial small subunit ribosomal RNA", at positions 338 to 944 of the family's 1533-position model. The record is from RNAcentral.